RNAcentral lists this ribosomal RNA (471 nucleotides) under uncultured bacterium. RNAcentral's name for it is "bacterial SSU rRNA". It matches the Rfam family "Bacterial small subunit ribosomal RNA", at positions 335 to 799 of the family's 1533-position model. The record is from RNAcentral.
ACUCCUACGGGAGGCAGCAGUGGGGAAUAUUGCACAAUGGGGAAACCCUGAUGCAGCCAUGCCGCGUGUGUGAAGAAGGCCUUCGGGUUGUAAAGCACUUUCAGUAGGGAGGAAGGUAGUGUAGUUAACACCUGCACUAUUUGACGUUACCUACAGAAGAAGCACCGGCUAACUCCGUGCCAGCAGCCGCGGUAAUACGGAGGGUGCGAGCGUUAAUCGGAAUUACUGGGCGUAAAGCGCAUGCAGGCGGCCUGUUAAGUCAGAUGUGAAAGCCCGGGGGCUUAACCUCGGAAUUGCAUUUGAAACUGGCAGGCUAGAGUCUUGUAGAGGGGGUAGAAUUUCAGGUGUAGCGGUGAAAUGCGUAGAGAUCUGAAGGAAUACCAGUGGCGAAGGCGGCCCCCUGGACAAAGACUGACGCUCAGAUGCGAAAGCUGGGGAGCAAACAGGAUUAGAUACCCUGGUAGCACAGAG